Non-coding RNA from Polaribacter sp. SA4-12, 304 nucleotides. It matches the Rfam family "Bacterial RNase P class A". Rfam says of the family: Ribonuclease P (RNase P) is a ubiquitous endoribonuclease, found in archaea, bacteria and eukarya as well as chloroplasts and mitochondria. Its best characterised activity is the generation of mature 5'-ends of tRNAs by cleaving the 5'-leader elements of precursor-tRNAs. The record is from Rfam. Lineage: Bacteria; Pseudomonadati; Bacteroidota; Flavobacteriia; Flavobacteriales; Flavobacteriaceae.
AUUGCAGACUUAUCUUAUCGACUUGUUUUAACAAGUAGGAAAGUCCGGACACCAAAGAGUAAUCAUAGCGGAUAACAUCCGUCCAACGUGAGUUGAGGACCAGUGCAACAGAAAGAAUGUACAGUUCGGCUGUAGUGAAACCAGGUAAACUCUAUGAGGUGCAAUGCCAUGUAAAUUAGAGCUUGAGGGCUACUCGCUCGAUUCUAAAGGGUAGGCAGGUAGAUUCUAAGAGUAAUUUUAGAACUAGAUAAAUGAUAAGAGCCUUUUUAAGGAACAGGAUUCGGCUUAUUAGUCUGCAUUUUCU